This 492-nucleotide ribosomal RNA is filed under the name uncultured bacterium. RNAcentral describes it as "partial 16S ribosomal RNA". It matches the Rfam family "Bacterial small subunit ribosomal RNA", at positions 29 to 507 of the family's 1533-position model. The record is from RNAcentral.
AGUGAACGCUGGCGGUAGGCCUAACACAUGCAAGUCGAACGGCAGCACAGUGUACGCUUGCUCUUACGGGUGGCGACUGGCGGACGGGUGAGGCAUACAUCGUCAUCUACUUUUUCGUGGGCGAUAACUUAGGGAAACUUCCGCUAAUACCUCAUACCUCUUACCGCUGGAAUCAGGUGAUCUUCGUACCUUUCCCUCAUUCAUGAGUCGAUGUCGGAUUAGUUAGUUGGCUGGGUAAAGGCCCACCAAGCCGACGAACCGUAGCUGGUCUGCGAGGAUGAUCAGCCACACGGGAAUGGAGAAACGGUCCAAACUCCUACGGGAGGAAGAAGUGGGGAAUAUUGGACAAUGGGCGAAAGCCUGAUCAAGAAAUACCGCGUGGGUGAAGAAGGCCUUCGGGUUGUAAAGCCCUUUUGUUGGGAAAGAAAAGCAGCAGGUUAAUACCCCGAUGUAGUGACGGUACCUAAAGAAUAAGCACCGGCUAACUUCGUG